Danio rerio (zebrafish) is the source of this 116-nucleotide ribosomal RNA. The record is from Ensembl. NCBI's taxonomy places the organism in Eukaryota, Metazoa, Chordata, Actinopteri, Cypriniformes, Danionidae.
UGCCACAACCAUAUCGACCUGCAGCCCAGGAUCGGUGUCUAGCUGAAGCUAAGCAGGUUGAGCCUGGCCAGUACCUGGAUGGGAGACCACAUGGGAAAACUAGGUUGCUGUUGGAA